Molecule: ribosomal RNA, 251 nt
Filed under: uncultured bacterium
Lineage: Bacteria
Description: partial 16S ribosomal RNA
Rfam family: Archaeal small subunit ribosomal RNA
Source: RNAcentral
UACCAGCACCCCGAGUGGUCGGGACGAUUAUUGGGCCUAAAGCAUCCGUAGCCGGUUUUACAAGUCCCCCGUUAAAUCCAGCUGCUUAACAGAUGGGCUGCGGAGGAUACUAUAAGACUAGGAGGCAGGAGAGGCAAGCGGUACUCAGUGGGUAGGGGUAAAAUCCGUUGAUCCAUUGAAGACCACCAGUGGCGAAGGCGGCUUGCCAGAAUGCGCUCGACGGUGAGGGAUGAAAGCUGGGGAGCAACCGG